Molecule: non-coding RNA, 89 nt
Filed under: Paenibacillus antibioticophila
Lineage: Bacteria; Bacillati; Bacillota; Bacilli; Caryophanales; Paenibacillaceae
Description: Purine riboswitch
Rfam family: Purine riboswitch aptamer
About the family: Riboswitches are metabolite binding domains within certain messenger RNAs that serve as precision sensors for their corresponding targets.
Source: RNAcentral
AUAACUUAAUAUGCUUUUCGUAUAAUUCCGGGAAUGGGCCCGGAAGUCUCUACGAGGUCACCGUAAAUGAUCUGGCUACGAGAAGAAGA